GUCAUGAUGUUUGUUGCAGGAA
RNAcentral lists this unclassified non-coding RNA (22 nucleotides) under Mus musculus (house mouse). Its description in RNAcentral is "oocyte_clustered_small_RNA8546". Lineage: Eukaryota; Metazoa; Chordata; Mammalia; Rodentia; Muridae. The record is from RNAcentral.